AAAAAGUCCCCAAUAUAUUUUCAUUUUUAGAAAUCCCCACUUUAGACUUAAAAUGAUCUGCUUCUAUGAGGAUUUUUGAUAUGAUACAUUAAUCAAACUUAACUAUGUGCCCCUUAAGAAUAUUGUCAGUUCUAUCAAUCUUCAUAGCUCACCCAGUGCUAGGUGAGUGUUUUGAACACGGAAUGUGUUUGUGCUUCAGGCAUUCUGUCUCUAAGGAUGGAAUGGAAAACCCUUCCCUUUCAAGCUUUACAGGUACGUUGUGUCAAGUGGAGAAGAUCAGUUCUGGUUAGCAGCUUUAUUGCCACAGAAAGGACACUGGCAGAUACUUCUCAUAGCUCUAGUCAUGCUGAAUUCCCAGAAAGGGGUGUCAGAAUGAAUUGCUCUAAGCUCUUCUCCCUGGUAGAAGAACCUGUGACUUCUCUUGGAGAUCUCUUCAAUUUUCGGAAGCUGAUGCUUACAACAAUGGAGAUUAGCAAUACCUGGACAGAGUUGAGCUUCAAAGGAUACUGAGAAAUGGCUAAAGCAGAUGAUAAAGAAAAAAUGAGGAAAUGCUGUGAAGAACUAAUAGAACGUUUCAGAAGCAGAACAAGUCGAGAGCAGUGAUGACCCUUUUCUUCCUGCUAGUACCUCCUGUCUGUCUGGCUGAACUCACCAUCAGAUGAUGUCUUGAACCUCACCUAGAUGGGCUGGUGGUGUGUGGCCAGGUUAAGAGCACCAACAGGAGUAAGAAAGUGACCUGCCUGGUUUUACCGUGUGCACUAGGGGAGGGGUUGAAAGCUUUCGGUUGAUACAUCACCUCUGGGAGUUGAAGAAGAAUGCAAUUAAGAGAGCUAAAGAAGUCAGUAUAGAAUCUGAAACUCAGAGGUCAACUGAUGUGUCAAAGAUACCUCCACAAAUCAGUACCUUGAUUAAAACUAAAAUUGGAGUCAUCUUCAUAUCUUCAUCUUUCUCCCUCUUCAUUAGGACCGAUUGUAGUCUGUUUCCCUCUCACUCACUUGCAAUCUUUAUUGCUUUAGUGUUGCAUUUGAUUUUUAUCUUUGUUUUUGUUUUAAAUACUGUCAUUAAAGUCAUAGAAAAAUCUAAAGUAAAACUGGUUGAAUAAAAAUUUUAAAAUCGACUCUAAUGUAAUAAACCAGACAAAAAUGAUACUUUACAUGUUAUAUCUUCCCUUUAAACUACAAAUAUUCAUUGAGUGUAUACCCUGUAUUAGGCUGUUGGAAUAAAACAGGGAAGAAGACAGAAGAAACUGCACCGCCAUCUUAGAUCUUGCAGCCAAAUUCCUCUGAACUUUUCUCUAAAGACGUGCUCUGGAAAAAUGUUGAUCAUUUUCCUACAUCAUGGAGGUCUUUUCAUGACCACCUUUGUCUAGACAAUGUCCUGUUUUUAGGUGCACGUUUGAGGGCUGGAGUCUCUGACCCACAGUGCUGCAGCCUGCACGUGGUUUGUCCUGACUUCUUUGCUACUUCACUUUUCGUAAGGCUCUGAGAGUGCAGGCCCUUGUGGGUGGACACUGCAGGGUGAGAGGAAGAAGUAAACUACUUUUUUCCGUUUCUGAUGGGGGUGUGGGUCAGCAGCUAUAAGCAACAGGGACCAUGGGGGGCCUCAGACUUCAGCACCUGAGAGGCAGUUUCAGUCGUAUUGGGGAGAUGCAGGCAUCUGGGUUGCUGCACAUCACCAGGGCAGGGUUCUCUCAGCAGCCCUGGAGUGCAGAGUUCCCAUCAGCUCAGCAGUGAGGGGCACAUGGGGCUCCAG
Molecule: long non-coding RNA, 1752 nt
Filed under: Homo sapiens (human)
Lineage: Eukaryota; Metazoa; Chordata; Mammalia; Primates; Hominidae
Description: PREDICTED lncRNA (TCONS_00024702)
Source: RNAcentral